Molecule: long non-coding RNA, 848 nt
Organism: Phoenix dactylifera (date palm)
Lineage: Eukaryota; Viridiplantae; Streptophyta; Magnoliopsida; Arecales; Arecaceae
Source: RefSeq, a predicted model, not a curated record
CCGAUCUUGGGUUCACCGGCUUAACUCAUCCCGCCGCCGCAGCUUCCUUUUCUAACCCCAAACCUUCAAACCCUCGCCCCUUCUAACCCUCGGUCUCUCUCCCUCCUCGAUGGCAUCCCUUCUCCACAAACUCCUCCGGAGAAUCCCUCCGCCGCCGCCCCUCCGAAUCCUCCCAUGCCUCACCAAACAACCCCAUCUCCCAGACCCCUCCUCACUCCCUCCCGAAAACCCAAUCCCGAGAACCAAUCCCACGCCAACCCCUCCCCUUACUUAUCUUCCAAACCCCAUUCAGAUAUACCCACAAUUUCCCUUCUUCUUCCAUCCGGAAUCCAUCCCUUUGUCUGGACUCGUCGAAUCCGAUGCCGAGCGCGCGUCCGGCGAUGCGACCAGCGACCGAACGGUGUGGGCCGACAGCGUGAAGAAGAAGAGGAAGAGGAAGAUGAACAAACACAAGUACAGGAAGCUCAGGAAGCGCCUCCGCCGCCAGACUUAGCCUUCCCCGGCUCCAUUUGGUGAUUUCCUUGGGUAGAUCAUCGAAUUGGCUUGACUUCAGUUUCCUCAAGUGGGUUAUGGGGCAGGUGGGACUCCUUCGAUGUGGUAUUAAAUCACCUAAUCAUGCAGCUGGAGCAUCUUUGUUGAGGAGAAUAUGUACCUUCGAAUGGACUAGAAUUAUCUUGGCUGGAGAAAAACUAAAUAAAGAGAAAGCAUGAAGCACAUUAUGGUGCAAUCAUUUCUUUGGACAUUCUUUGCUCUCUUUUAAGAUGAGCUAUGGUGUAAUCAUUUCUCUUGACAUUCUUUAGUCUCUUUUAUAAUGAGUCGAUCCUAGAUCAUCUAGUGUGCUCUUUUUA